GGCAAUGAUGAUACAAUCCAUCUUGUUUGAGAUGUAGUGGAGCCAAGUCCCUGUCUUUCCAGGGAGAACCUACUUGGUUAAGCUGCAUUUCACAUGACAUAACUGGAUUUUAAUGAGCC
Diospyros lotus (date-plum) is the source of this 119-nucleotide small nucleolar RNA. RefSeq annotates it as small nucleolar RNA Z278. The record is from RefSeq and is a predicted model, not a curated record. The transcript has a single exon. NCBI's taxonomy places the organism in Eukaryota, Viridiplantae, Streptophyta, Magnoliopsida, Ericales, Ebenaceae.